AGUGAACGCUGGCGGUAGGCCUAACACAUGCAAGUCGAACGGCAGCACAGGAGAGCUUGCUCUCUGGGUGGCGAGUGGCGGACGGGUGAGGAAUACAUCGGAAUCUACUUUUUCGUGGGGGACAACGUAGGGAAACUUACGCUAAUACCGCAUACGACCUACGGGUGAAAGCAGGGGACCUUCGGGCCUUGCGCGAUUGAAUGAGCCGAUGUCGGAUUAGCUAGUUGGCGGGGUAAAGGCCCACCAAGGCGACGAUCCGUAGCUGGUCUGAGAGGAUGAUCAGCCACACUGGAACUGAGACACGGUCCAGACUCCUACGGGAGGCAGCAGUGGGGAAUAUUGGACAAUGGGCGCAAGCCUGAUCCAGCCAUACCGCGUGGGUGAAGAAGGCCUUCGGGUUGUAAAGCCCUUUUGUUGGGAAAGAAAUCCAGCUGGCUAAUACCCGGUUGGGAUGACGGUACCCAAAGAAUAAGCACCGGCUAACUUCGUGCCAGCCGCCGCAGUAA
Molecule: ribosomal RNA, 506 nt
Filed under: uncultured bacterium
Lineage: Bacteria
Description: partial 16S ribosomal RNA
Rfam family: Bacterial small subunit ribosomal RNA
Source: RNAcentral